Molecule: non-coding RNA, 246 nt
Organism: Cyanistes caeruleus (blue tit)
Lineage: Eukaryota; Metazoa; Chordata; Aves; Passeriformes; Paridae
Source: RefSeq, a predicted model, not a curated record
GUCUGGUGGUGUUCACUGCAGCUUGGCUGUGUUGUGAACCACAACAGCAUUUCUUCAGUUAGAUUUCUGCUCAGUAUCCACUCAUCCUGCCAGAGUCUGUUUUCUGAAGGAUGAAGCAGUUGUGUCCUGGAGGUACCUGCUUCUCUCAGUAAUUUGUGAAACAGCUCUUGGAAGAAUCUGCAGUGAGUCAGGGAAAGGUUGUCUGGAAAUGAGACGCCAGAGGAAGCAAAAGAAGAAGCCAAAGGC